UAAUGAGACUGCCGGUGACAACCGGAGAAGGUGAGGAUGACGUCAAGUCCUCAUGGCCCUUAUGGUAGGGCUUCACACGUCAUACAAUGGUCGGUACAGAGGGUUGCCAACCCGCAGGGGGAGCUAAUCCCACAAAGCCGAUCGUAGUCCGGAUCGCAGUCUGCAACUCGACUGCGUGAAGUCGGAAUCGCUAGUAAUCGCGGAUCAGCCAUGCCGCGGUGAAUGCGUUCCCGGGCCUU
RNAcentral lists this ribosomal RNA (239 nucleotides) under uncultured Achromobacter sp. RNAcentral describes it as "partial 16S ribosomal RNA". It matches the Rfam family "Bacterial small subunit ribosomal RNA", at positions 1141 to 1382 of the family's 1533-position model. Lineage: Bacteria; Pseudomonadati; Pseudomonadota; Betaproteobacteria; Burkholderiales; Alcaligenaceae. The record is from RNAcentral.